Molecule: ribosomal RNA, 265 nt
Filed under: uncultured bacterium
Lineage: Bacteria
Description: partial 16S ribosomal RNA
Rfam family: Bacterial small subunit ribosomal RNA
Source: RNAcentral
GUCCACGCCGUAAACGAUGUCUACUAGCCGUUGGGAUCCCUGAGGUCUUAGUGGCGCAGCUAACGCAAUAAGUAGACCGCCUGGGGGAGUACGGUCGCAAGAUUAAAACUCAAAUGAAUUGACGGGGGGCCCGCACAAGCGGUGGAGCAUGUGGUUUAAUUCGACGCAACGCGAAGAACCUUACCAGGUCUUGACAUCCAGAGAAUUCGCCAGAGAUGGCUUAGUGCCUUCGGGAGCUCUGAGACAGGUGCUGCAUGGCUGUCGU